GACGAACGCUGGCGGCGUGCUUAACUCAUGCAAGUCGAACGGAAAGGCCCUGCUUUUGUGGGGUGCUCGAGUGGCGAACGGGUGAGUAACACGUGAGUAACCUGCCCUUGACUUUGGGAUAACUUCAGGAAACUGGGGCUAAUACCGGAUAGGAGCUCCUGCUGCAUGGUGGGGGUUGGAAAGUUUCGGCGGUUGGGGAUGGACUCGCGGCUUAUCAGCUUGUUGGUGGGGUAGUGGCUUACCAAGGCUUUGACGGGUAGCCGGCCUGAGAGGGUGGCCGGCCACAUUGGGACUGAGAUACGGCCCAGACUCCUACGGGAGGCAGCGGUGGGGAAUAUUGCACAAUGGGCGGAAGCCUGAUGCAGCAGCGCCGCGUGCGGGAUGACGGCCUUCGGGUUGUAAACCGCUUUCGCCUGUGACGAAGCGUGAGUGACGGUAAUGGAUAAAGAAGCACCGGCUAACUACGUG
This 468-nucleotide ribosomal RNA is filed under the name uncultured bacterium. RNAcentral's name for it is "partial 16S ribosomal RNA". It matches the Rfam family "Bacterial small subunit ribosomal RNA", at positions 28 to 507 of the family's 1533-position model. The record is from RNAcentral.